ACUUUUUGUCUUUUUUCAGAAGUAGUCGAAAUAGUUCAGAUUGAAUGUUUCACUUUUUUUCACAAAUUCUGGUUUGAUCUGGUUUCUUUGUAAGUGUUUGAUCCUCUGCAGCUAGAAAAUGUUGGCAAAUGAAUGACUCCUCCCUGUAUUUUUUUAGCACAUUGGCCCCGCCCCUCAGCCUCAUUCCACCAAUCACAGCAGAGUAUGCUCUCAUAUAAAAGCUGCCGCAGAAGGGAAGGGACUUUCCAUAUCGCUCUUCUCUUCAGCAGCUUCCGGGAGAUUUCUUCUGCUUUCUGCUCUUAUAACUUAUUUUCACUAAGGUCCAGUUAAGGGUUCCCUUGGUAAAAUGUGCAUUCCAAGGGCUAAAUAUCGUGUUAUUUGGGCUCGCUUCAACCCGUGGACAUGAAAAACAACCUCCGGCAACAGUGUAAAAGUAGCCCAAUUCUGCGGGAAAACCACAGACUUGGCAACACUGUUUGGUUCAUUAAUUUACUCAUUCACUCACUCACUAUAUCACUCACACACUUUUUACUCAAUUUGAAUGUCUCCCCUCCCCGAGUUUUUAAAGUUUUAAACCAGCAGAUCAUAUAGAGAAACACUUUGUCCAUACCACCCCGUCACAGGGUCAUUUUGUUAAAAGUUUAUGGGAAGAAAAUGAAAUAUUACAUAAAUUAAUGUUGAAUGAUGUUCUUGUUGUGUGGACUAAUCAGAUAAAUGUAACUUUAUUUGUAUUUUUUAAGUGAAUUCAUUUUUUCAGUACAAACAAUGAAGCCAUUGAAACGUCAAAUUCAUAUUUCAAGAUUAAAAAUAUUAAAUUACAGACUUUCUAUUGAUGGUUUCCAAAAAAGGGACAUUUUACUAUUAGGAAGACAUUAGAUUUUAAAAAUCAAUUUCUUGUUUUACUGCUCCAUUGGCAUACAUAUUGUCCGUGACGGGGUGGUACAAGAAUGGCUUCCUUGCCUGAAUAAAAAGGAUAAUAUCAAUAAAGAUGUUGUGCCUGAGGUGGGAAAAUAUGUUUUUUUGGAGGAUUAACAUAUCUUUCAAGUUGUAGGUUCGUUUAAAAAAAGUUUGUUCUUAAUGAAAAGUUUGAAAAAUGCAAAGUGGAAAUGGCACCCGUUUCGUAGAAUGACUCAAAAACACUUCCCUCUCCCAAGGCCGAGGAGACCCAUCCAUAGGGGGUAAAGCAGGGCACGGGCAACUCGUGUCGUCCGCCGGGGAGCGUCCCUUCACGAUAAAGAGGCGGAGCUUAAGUCACAAGUCCAUUCAUAACAAUAUCAAUCCGUCUUCCGCAGCAGCCUCGUCCUUAUGCUGCGUUCAGAAGGGCCGGGCAAAAUCCCUAUAGUCAGUCGUAUCUUUGGGCAACACGUUGCGCCAGCGACCAGUGUGCCGAGGCAGGUGACACUAAAUCAAUCCCCCCUCUAACUCCAGGUUUCUGGAGGAAAGUCCUUCAGCUCACCUCGGUAAUUUCGUCCAUGGAUCCGCUUAAGGUAGCCUAUUAAAUGCAUUUGCUAAAUACGAUUUUAUUUGUCUAGAAAUAGCCCACAGUUCGAAUAUUUCGCUUUCAUAUUUCAGUAGACUUUUAAUAGAUUGUAUUGCUUGUAAUGACGUUUGGUCUUCUUUGUCUGUUUUUUGAUCCUAUUUCAUAUUUCAGAAUUUAUAUUUUCACUUUUUUUUUGUGAAUUUGGUACAGUUAUUGUUAAUAGGUAAUUUACUGUUGAAUAUAUUUUUGUUAGUCCAAGUGAAAAGACGCACAUGCAAUAAGUUUCAGACGCACGGUGGGAGAACACAAAACUUCUGAUCGUUUAUCAGCAUAAAUUGGCCCACAGUUAUAGUAUCUCUAGAAAUAAGUUGUUGAGCAAAAGGAUUAUGCUGUAUUUGAGAAAUGUGAUUCUUUGUUGACUUUGAAGAAUAAACCAUAUGAUAAAGGAAA
Long non-coding RNA from Ctenopharyngodon idella (grass carp), 1930 nucleotides. RefSeq lists it as uncharacterized. The record is from RefSeq and is a predicted model, not a curated record. The transcript is spliced from 2 exons. NCBI's taxonomy places the organism in Eukaryota, Metazoa, Chordata, Actinopteri, Cypriniformes, Xenocyprididae.